UACGGAGGAUCCGAGCGUUAUCCGGAAUUAUUGGGUUUAAAGGGUGCGCAGGCGGGGAUCUAAGUCAGGGGUGAAAGACGGUGGCUCAACCAUCGCAGUGCCUUUGAUACUGGAUUUCUUGAAUGUACCUGAGGUAGGCGGAAUGUGGCAAGUAGCGGUGAAAUGCAUAGAUAUGCCACAGAACACCGAUUGCGAAGGCAGCUUACCAAAGUAUGAUUGACGCUGAGGCACGAAAGCGUGGGGAUCGAACAGG
This 253-nucleotide ribosomal RNA is filed under the name uncultured Olivibacter sp. RNAcentral's name for it is "partial 16S ribosomal RNA". It matches the Rfam family "Bacterial small subunit ribosomal RNA", at positions 524 to 776 of the family's 1533-position model. The record is from RNAcentral. Lineage: Bacteria; Pseudomonadati; Bacteroidota; Sphingobacteriia; Sphingobacteriales; Sphingobacteriaceae.